UAUUGUUUGGAAAUUGUACCGCAGUCCAAGUUAGAAAACAUCUGGGCCCAAGCCAGUCGAGCGCCGCCCGUACGCCGCGUCCGCAGCCACGCGCCCGAGGCCGAGCUCCCGAGCGCGCCGCCGCCUCGACCUCGCGACCCGCCGGCGACCGGAUCCUCGCCGGAGAUGAGUGCCGCUGUGCCCUGCUCCACCCUCUAUUCCUCUGUCUCCUUUCACCUCGCUCAUCCCCCGAUUUCUCUGUCCCCAGGACGAACAGGAGCAUGCCAUGGCCUCGGAUCCGCGCCGCCGUCGCCGGAGAACGUCGUCCGCCACCGGUUCUUCGAUCACAACUACCGGAUCAAGUUGCCCCGCCUCCGAUCUACCCGUUCCCGGCCACCCCAACCUCGCCUCGUCGUCGGGCGCGCAGAGAGACGGCCAUGGCCGCAAGAUUCCCGAGCGCCGCCGGCCAAGGUGGCCGACCGUGGCCGCCCGAUGCCCGAGCGCCGCCGGCCAAGGACACGCCGGCGGCGCGUCAACUGUGUGCCGCCCUCCAAACAGGUCGCCGCUGCACCCCCACCUCGCCCGGCCUCUCCUACGGCCCUGGCCUCCCGCUCUUCACUCAUCUGCCCGGCGGCGGGAAGUUACAGGCGUUGGAGUCCCUUCUGGUCACUGGUGAUUUAGACUUUGUCAUCGGGACAUGUGAAGCAAAGGUCUACAUUUUUAGAGCAAUCCCAGACUAUGAAAGCGACCAAACUUCCGAUGACUCUGAGGAUGAAUAGAAGUGAAGAUGUGUGCUUGCAAUACAAUGUUCGAUCGGAGCGCAGUUUGUUAGAGAAGCAAUUUCUUCGAUGAUGCUGGAGACUCGGCUAAUGCAGUUUCGUGCUGGUUGCAUGUAGAAUCGCCGCACUCUCGGUCUCAGUGUAGCAGGAUUUUUAACCUAGAUAGGAGUAGUAGGUAGCAGAUCGUGGUGCAGACCUUGUAUGGGUUGAACAAUGAACUAAUGCAUCUAGGCUGAUGAUGAUGGUCUCGAGUGCAUUUUUCAUGACCGUUCCUGUUUGUUUGAGGUGCCUUUGUCUCUGUCACAGAUGGGAUGGGUUUUCUCUUCAAUGGUGGGUGCUGAACAGAUGACUGUCAGCUAUGGUCGAGGAUCGAUUAUGGUAAUUUCGACUCGUAGAAGGGCAGGAGAAUCAUACCGGGUUGGACUAACAAGACUGACAGUUCUUCAGACGAUGUAGCAAAAGCUUGGGCUGGAAUCCAUGCAAUUCCCGGGACAAUUUGGUUAGACAGCCAUGGCAAGCAGUUGCUUCACUAGCCAGUUCAAGAGGUCGAGUCCCUUCGAGGAAAUGAAAUCAACCGUCAUGGACUAGAGCUGAAGAAAGGAGGUUUAUUUGAGAUUAAGGGAGCUGACAGUUUUCAGUUCUUCAUUAAGACUAGGACUAUACACACCAGCCUAUGGAGGCUUCUUUGAAUCUGAUCUUCAAAAGGAAAAGAAGAUAUCUCUGAGAACUCUGAUUGAUCCAUCAGCGGUGGAGAGCUUCGGCGGUGGCAGCAGGGUCUGCAUCAUGGCCAUAGUUUAUCCCGUAGAGGUUGUCGACAACGGGGCCCACAUGUAUGCCUUCAACAACGGCAAUACCACGAUCAGAGCACAUAAAUAGGGAAAAUAUAGCUGCUGAUUUCCUUAACCUCUAGGAUUGAUCAUAUCUUAUAGUUUAUUGUCAGUGUUAGUAGGGAACUGCCCGAGUAUUGCAUAUUUAGUUUGUGCAAGUCUGCUAA
Triticum aestivum (bread wheat) is the source of this 1752-nucleotide long non-coding RNA. RefSeq lists it as uncharacterized. Lineage: Eukaryota; Viridiplantae; Streptophyta; Magnoliopsida; Poales; Poaceae. The record is from RefSeq and is a predicted model, not a curated record. The transcript has 8 exons.